GGAGGCUGUGGCUCAGGUGGUAGAGCGGGUUGUCAACUAACCGUAGGGUUGAUGGUUCGAUUCCGGCCCACAAGACUCCA
This is a non-coding RNA of Ameiurus melas (black bullhead), 80 nucleotides long. Lineage: Eukaryota; Metazoa; Chordata; Actinopteri; Siluriformes; Ictaluridae. The record is from the annotation of a GenBank genome assembly.